Molecule: ribosomal RNA, 472 nt
Filed under: uncultured Desulfobulbus sp.
Lineage: Bacteria; Pseudomonadati; Thermodesulfobacteriota; Desulfobulbia; Desulfobulbales; Desulfobulbaceae
Description: bacterial SSU rRNA
Rfam family: Bacterial small subunit ribosomal RNA
Source: RNAcentral
GACGGGGCCGCACAAGCGGUGGAGUAUGUGGUUUAAUCGAUGCAACGCGAAGAACCUACCUGGUCUUGACAUCCCGGAGACCCUUAGGAAACUAGGGGGUGCUUCCAUCUGGAAGAAUCUGGAGACAGGUGCUGCAUGGCUGUCGUCAGCUCGUGUCGUGAGAUGUUGGGUUAAGUCCCGCAACGAGCGCAACCCUUGCCUUUAGUUGCCAGCAGUUCGGCUGGGCACUCUAAAGGGACUGCCGGUGUUAAACCGGAGGAAGGUGGGGAUGACGUCAAGUCCUCAUGGCCUUUAUGACCAGGGCUACACACGUACUACAAUGGCCGAUACAAAGGGCAGCGACACUGCGAGGUGAAGCCAAUCCCGUAAAAUCGGUCUCAGUCCGGAUUGGAGUCUGCAACUCGACUCCAUGAAGUUGGAAUCGCUAGUAAUCGUGGAUCAGCAUGCCACGGUGAAUACGUUCCCGGGCCUU